CGAUGAAGCCUAGCUUGCUGGGUGGAUUAGUGGCGAACGGGUGAGUAACACGUGAGUAACCUGCCCUUGACUCUGGGAUAAGCCUGGGAAACUGGGUCUAAUACCGGAUACGACCAUUGCCCGCAUGGGUUGGUGGUGGAAAGCUUUUGUGGUUUUGGAUGGACUCGCGGCCUAUCAGCUUGUUGGUGAGGUAAUGGCUCACCAAGGCGACGACGGGUAGCCGGCCUGAGAGGGUGACCGGCCACACUGGGACUGAGACACGGCCCAGACUCCUACGGGAGGCAGCAGUGGGGAAUAUUGCACAAUGGGCGAAAGCCUGAUGCAGCGACGCCGCGUGAGGGAUGACGGCCUUCGGGUUGUAAACCUCUUUCAGUAGGGAAGAAGCGAAAGUGACGGUACCUGCAGAAGAAGCGCCGGCUAACUACGUGCCAGCAGCCGCGGUAAUACGUAGGGCGCAAGCGUUAUCCGGAAUUAUUGGGCGUAAAGAGCUCGUAGGCGGUUUGUCGCGUCUGCUGUGAAAGGCCAGGGCUCAACCCUGGUUCUGCAGUGGGUACGGGCAGACUUGAGUGAUGUAGGGGAGACUGGAAUUCCUGGUGUAGCGGUGAAAUGCGCAGAUAUCAGGAGGAACACCGAUGGCGAAGGCAGGUCUCUGGGCAUUAACUGACGCUGAGGAGCGAAAGCAUGGGGAGCGAACAGGAUUAGAUACCCUGGUAGUCCAUGCCGUAAACGUUGGGCACUAGGUGUGGGGGACAUUCCACGUUUUCCGCGCCGUAGCUAACGCAUUAAGUGCCCCGCCUGGGGAGUACGGCCGCAAGGCU
This 818-nucleotide ribosomal RNA is filed under the name Arthrobacter sp. Its description in RNAcentral is "bacterial SSU rRNA". It matches the Rfam family "Bacterial small subunit ribosomal RNA", at positions 67 to 895 of the family's 1533-position model. The record is from RNAcentral. Lineage: Bacteria; Bacillati; Actinomycetota; Actinomycetes; Micrococcales; Micrococcaceae.